Molecule: RNA transcript, 4600 nt
Organism: Hypomesus transpacificus
Lineage: Eukaryota; Metazoa; Chordata; Actinopteri; Osmeriformes; Osmeridae
Exons: 4
Source: RefSeq, a predicted model, not a curated record
AAAGCAAGCGGAUGUUCCCAUAUCUAUCUCAACCUACAUCUCUGCUGCUCUUGGUUUCUGAAAAUUAUCUCUCAGCGGCAGAGUAGCUAAUGUCUGAGCGUUACCGUCAUCUUUUUUUUUAUUUUUUAUCUUUACGUGCAUGCUGCAACAUUUAAAAAGAAAAUAUCCCGACACGAAAGGAAUUGGAAACGACAGGAUCGCACCAGACCAGCAGCAAGAAUACCAGUGACAGAGACAGACGUGACCAGCUCAACCAGCCGGGCACCAGGAAGACACAGAAUGAGAUUCAGCCACUUCACUCUAACCAGGCAGCUCCAGGCAGGCUGGUGUCAAGGGCCAGGAGGGGACGCUCACGGAACCCUGCGUCGCUUCCUCCUGAUGAAGGUUGUGAUCGUACUGCUGUUCCCUUCUGGUGCGGUGCUCCCCCUGCUUGUAGGGUGCGUGUUCAGCCUGCAGGCUCUCCUGCUGCUCCGUUCCCCUCACACCUCCACCAAGCCCAGCACUGUCCUGCUGAGACAGCUGGCUCUCACUGAUGCUCUGGUGCUGCUGUGCUGGGGACUGGGGCUAGGCAUGCAGGUCGGCCUGUGGAUGGAGUUGGGCUUGGGAACGGAGGUGGGCCUGGGGACGCAGGUGGGCCUGGUGGCAGAGGGGGACCAAGCGAAGGAGGUGGGUCUGGAAGUGGAGGUGGGCCUGGGGACGCAGGUGGGCUUUGUGGUGCAGCUUGAAAUGCUGUGUCAAGGAUUCCUGGAUGCCCACCACCUGGCUUCUCUUUUACUGUUGGGAAUGCUGGGGCUAGAGGCCUCUCUGGUCUCCCACUGGCCUCUGCAGACACGUUGGGUGCGGACCUCUUAUUUUGCCCGACUCGCCUGCACCUUUAUCUGGGUGUUUGCUCUACUGGAGCCCCUGGCUCUGCAGGCCUGUUGGCUCUACCAGGCCCUGGGGAGUCAUGCUGGCCUUCAAUCUCUCCCAGACUCUGACACUGGUUCGCUGGGUACGGCUGCAGGCCUCCAGGCCUGUACUGUUUUGGUUCUACCUUUCCACACUGCCUUGACCUGUCUGAGGGUGGUGCUGUGGUUGGCUAAUGCUAGGCUUCACUAUGAUGUCCUCUACAACAAACCACAAAGAAGAAAGAGCUUCUUCCAUUAGAAGCCCAAUCUGGGGUUUCCUUCUAAACAGCCCUCGAGUCAUUCCUCCCACAAUCUAGGAGAUCCGUGUGGACCGGAUAUGUUGAAGUCAUGCUGGGGUUGCCAAAUUGCUUAGUCUGGUCAAAUCCACUUGGAUCUCUACAUGUGCAAUGGAACACUAAAUCAGUUUUAUGUGUCAAGUGUUUGGUAAGACUUUUUGACCUCUUGGAUGUUUUAGGUCAUAAAUUGAAUGUUACUAUCAAGUUAUUUAAAAGUAAUUUAUUACCAACUAAUUAUAUAUUUUAAGCAAGUCUGACAAAAAUUCAAAUAACUUUAUUAUUUGUUACUUUUCUUCUUAUUUGAUGACAUGUUGCUUUAGUGGUAUUAGAAUAUGAGUGUGUGUUUGUUGCAUGACAAAAGGGCUUGGACUGGAUGUGGUUAGUAUAAACGCUAUGAUAAAAAUGUAUAAUAAUAAUGGUCUUUAUUGAGAAUACUGGGAGAAUCAAACGUACAUAAUGAGGUUAUACUUGUUAAAGGUUAAGGAUUCCAACAGAGAUACCUUCUUCCAAGAAGAACAUGACUGGAAAUAUACACUGUAACCUUAAUUUCUUCUAGUGGAACAAACAGUCUCCAGGACAUUAUGAUAAGAAUGUGAGAACUACUGUAACAUUUUGUCUUACAGCACACAAUUGAUGGUAAUCUCAAUCACUUUGUAUGAGAACUGAAUGUUAGAGAAAGUCCAGGCAUUUGUUAUGUGCCAUACUCUUUGUCUUUAGCUCCUCAUGAGAUUAUGAACUUUUAAUGACCUUAAAAACAUUUCCUUAGUUGACAUUUUCAAACGUUUGUUACAUAGCUUCUCUGAAAUUAUCUAAAAAGAUUGUAAUCUUCUCUCUAAACAACAGUACAUUCCUGACUGAUCUUUUCUGUUUCAUCCUACUCUCAUAUAUUUCGAUCUAGGAGACCCGGCCACCCCUGCAGGAACUAUGUUGUGUAAAUGAGGUUAAAAGCGACACGUACGCACACAAACACACCCAUGUUGCACGCACAAACACAGUGAGGCAUGCAGGCAGUCAAACAUGCACACACGCAAACAAUUACACUAACACAGGCACAAAACCCUGCACGUACUGCACACACAUGUAUGCACAGCAGAGGCACCCAUGCAUAAGAACCACAAUAGUACCACUUAGAGUGAGAAAACAUGAAAGGGUUAAAAAGUUGUAAAGGAGUCAUUAGGUGUUAUGCCUACAGUUAUGGAAUACAGUUUUUUUACAAUCGCUUUGAUACAAAUUUCAAAACAGAGAUGUCCGUUUUCAAAACUCUAGACACAAAACAAAACUCACAACUGAUGAUCAAAAUGCAAAUUUUUCAAAACGCUAACACGAUUUUCAAUUGCUUGGAUACAAUACACAUACACCUUGGAUCAUUUGUUAAUUGAGCUAUAAUCAUCUGUUCAAAAUGACACAACUUAACAUCAAAGUAUCACCAUUUUAAAAAUGCAAUUCACACAUAACAUCUGAAAUGUCUGUCAUUUCCUUACAUUACAAUGAUCUGUCAAUUGAUACUACUGCUCAAAAUGAAAGUAACUGUUGCAUUAUUCUUCUUAAUGCAUAGUUUUAUAGAAACUGACAAACAAUAUUCAAAGUUUAGAGAAUGAAAGUUUCAGUAUAACGAGAUCCAUUGACACCAUGCUCAAUAGGUGCAAGCAUGGUUCAGGCAGGAGGACUCAGUAGUAAUAAUUUACUUGAUGCUUUAUUUCACACGGUACAAUACAUGAUUGUAAUACUUGAAUUUGGCAUAAUGGUUCUGCUCGCAGUGGCUCCCUGCCGCACCCAACCGAGACAACGUCUCGACAUCCGAGGCAGAGAGCAACGACGCAUUCCCACCUACGAAAUGAACACACGGAUCAAGGGUGGAAGCCAGGGAGCCGGAGGCAGCAGAUUAAACAGAGCAUCGUGUGUCACACUAAGCAAUGCAGAGUGCAGCAAUAUCCUGAUUAAAUAGCCUGCCCUACUAAAAAUGUGCGUCCCGACUGUGUGAUAUGAUGAGUUGCUAGUGACACGCUAUGUCCCGCGUACCCUGCAUGAACCAGCUCCACUUGAUCUCCGGCCCAUCCACAAUUUGCGGCUUUGUACUUGAUUUUUCUCCACAUGGAGGUGGAAGGUGUACGAUAGGCACCCUCAUGAACAAGUAACCCUUUUCCAUGCCAUGGAUGAGGCAUGCAAUUACAUCAUGGCACAUCAGUGUCAGGCCAGGAUUCACCAUGCCCAGAGAUUCUUUCAGAGAUGUUUGUCAAAUGAAAACUACCAUUGCGAUGUGGAUGAAAGUUGUGGCCAAAUCCUCAAAACAGGGUUGAUGGAAAUGUAGGACAGUAAUCAAUCCUUUGUUUUGCUUGUUUUUUGAGCCAGGUGAGGAACACUGCAGUACAUGUUCUGCGUACUGUAACAUAGUUUUCUUUUGUAGCUAAUUACAGUAACUUUAACUUCUCAUUUGACAAGAAAUACGGAAUAAUGCCCAUUCAGUACACUACCACAACUCAGUUUACUACAACUCCUUUUCUUAUAGUCUUUUUUGACGCAAAACUAUUUUACAACUGUUCACAUGUGGAUCAGUCUACUCAGCUGGCUCUCACACUGUGGAUUAAGAAGAGCUGUGACCACAGACAACGCCGGUAGAGAAGGUCUUACAGUAAUAUAGUCAUUAGUUAAACAAGGUUAGAAGUGGUGAGGAAAUGAGAGGAAAUGACCUGAAUUCUUGUCUUCCUGUCAUCCUCCAGACACACAUCAGUCGUUUGGGUUGGAGAAGAGUAAUGACUGCUCACACAUACGUGUGUGCACACACAUACGCGCACACACACUUCUAUACACAUCAGUAUGCAAACUUGCAUACACACACACUCAAGUCAUUUGGAAUCAGAGGCUUUGAAAAAAAUGAAUGACACAAUCAUUUUUCUGGUGGAAUCCCAUGGAAAAAUUAACACACACUUGAGAGGAAAUGACCAAAACAGCAUCAGGCUUGAAUCAUCUGGUUAUUACUGUACUAAAUGGUUUUACCCUCAUGAACAAGUUACCCUUCUCCAGGCCAUGGAUGAGGCAUGCAAUGACAUCAUGGCACACCAGUAUCAGGCCUAGACUCGCCAUGCACAGAGAUUCUUUCUGAGAUGUUUGUCACAUGAAAACAUUGAUUGCGAUGUGAAUGAAAACUUGUCAAAAUCUAUCCUUUGUUUUGCUUAGUUUGUUUGUUUUUGUUGAGCCAGCUAGAAUCGAGGUCUGCCUUACAGACACCUCCGCCUGGAUAACCAAGCACCUCCAGCUGAACCUUGCCAAAACAAAACUUCUCAUCAUCCCAGCCAUACCCUCCAUCUCCCACAAUCUCUCAUUCACCCGGGAUCUGCAACGUUGACUCCUUCAUCAUCUGCCAGGAACCUCGGGGUUACCAUGGAUGACAGGCUCACCCUCACGGCCCACAUUCCUGAA